GGCGAAUGAACAGGGAUGAGCUCAGGCUGGAAACCGAUACAUCUGUGUCGGGCUGUAGCCUGCAGGCAUAGCGCUAUCGGCGGCUCGAGCGCAAGCCUCUUGGAAUAGAGCGUGUGCCCGGGUGAGAAUCCUGCAUUUCGCUCGAUGUCCGCUGUCCACAGUGCUUGUUCUGAGAGUCACGCUCCUCGGAAUUGGAGCGUAAAUCAGGUGGUAAGUUUCAUCCAAAGCUAAAUAGAAGCUCGAGACCAAUAGCAAACAAGUACCAUGAGGGAAAGAUGAAAAGGACUUUGGAAAGAGAGUUAAAAGUGUUUGAAAUUGCUGAGAGCGAAGCGAACGGAGCCACAUGUCGUGCUGAGAUUGCUGUGGGUCUUUGUGAGCCUUGAGCAUGUAAGCGCAAGCUGACUGCUUAUGCAUGAGCAUUUGUCCGCAGUGUUUCUCAGCAUGCGAGUCAUUAGCCACAUUUGUUUGAGGAUGGCCUUCAGCUCACAUGGUACACUUGUUAGUGUGCCUCUGUGCGGUGUGGGACUCAGACAGGUGUGGCUUGUUGACCCAGUGGUUUUUUUCGACCCGUCUUGAAACACGGACCAAGGA
RNAcentral lists this ribosomal RNA (591 nucleotides) under Breviolum aenigmaticum. Its description in RNAcentral is "eukaryotic LSU rRNA". It matches the Rfam family "Eukaryotic large subunit ribosomal RNA", at positions 88 to 672 of the family's 3401-position model. Lineage: Eukaryota; Dinophyceae; Suessiales; Symbiodiniaceae. The record is from RNAcentral.